CAGCCGCCGCGGUAAUACCGGCGGCCCGAGUGGCGGUCACUCUUAUUGGGCUUAAAGCGUCCGUAGCCGGGUUGGGAAGGCCUCCGGGAAAUCUGGCCGCUUAACGGUCAGAAUGCCGGAGGAUACUCCCAGCCUAGGGAGCGGGAGAGGCCGAGGGUAUUCCCGGGGUAGGGGUGAAAUCCUAUAAUCCCGGGAGGACCACCUGUGGCGAAGGCGCUCGGCUGGAACGCGUCCGACGGUGAGGGACGAAGGCCAGGGGAGCAAACCGGAUUAGAUACCCGGGUAGUCCUGGCUGUAAACGAUGCGGACUUUGUGUCGGACAAGCUAUGAGCUUGUCCGGUGCCGGAGGGAAACCGUUAAGUCCGCCGCCUGGGGAGUACGGCCGCAAGGCUGAAACUUAAAGGAAUUGGCGGG
This 414-nucleotide ribosomal RNA is filed under the name uncultured microorganism. Its description in RNAcentral is "bacterial SSU rRNA". It matches the Rfam family "Archaeal small subunit ribosomal RNA", at positions 459 to 872 of the family's 1478-position model. The record is from RNAcentral.